RNAcentral lists this long non-coding RNA (385 nucleotides) under Mytilus galloprovincialis (Mediterranean mussel). The record is from RNAcentral. Lineage: Eukaryota; Metazoa; Mollusca; Bivalvia; Mytilida; Mytilidae.
UUUUAAUGAUGUAAUAAUUACAUUAGAUGUUUGUUUCAUUACAAUACGUUAUUCUGAUUGGCUAACUGCACAUCAUGUGUUAUUCCUUAAGCAGUUGUAUCACUCAAUAAAACUUCUCAUUCAUGAUGACACGAGGUCCCACAAUAAAGUGCACAGGUAAAUGAAAUAAAAACUUGAUAAAAGGCGUGUUUUCAUGAUCCUAUAGGUAAAAAUGUAAUUAUAAGUAUUGAAUGCUUUUUUUUGUAACUUUAUAGGGUUGUAAAAGCGUUGACCGUGCGCACAUUUUAAGUAUGAAGCGCUUCCGCGCUUCAUACAAAAUGUACUUCGGUCAACGCUUUUACACCCCAAUAAAUUUACAAAAAAGAGCAUUCAAUUCUUAAUUAUU